GGCUUGCUUAAAGGGGCCGUAGCCUGUUUGAUAAAUCUCUUGUGAAAUCGUCGGACUUAACCUGACGGCUUGCAGGAGACACUGUCUGACUUGAGACCGGAAGGGGUGUGAAGUAUGGUGCGGGGAACGGUAAAAUGUGAUAAUCCGCGCUAGACUACCAAUGGCGAAGGCAUCACACCAGGACGGAUCUGACGGUGAGGGACGAAAGCUAGGGGAGCGAACCGGAUUAGAUACCCGAGUAGUCCUAGCUGUAAACGCUGUGAGCAAGGUGUUGCAUAUUCCUCGGGAGUAUGCAGUGUCGAAACGAAGGUGAUAAGCUCACCACCUGGGAAGUACGGUCGCAAGACUGAAACUUUAAGGAAUUGGCGGGGAAGCACCACAAGGGGUGCGGCGUGCGGUUUAAUCCAACUCAACACGGAAAAUCUUACUAGAAGCGACGGCAGGAUGAAGGUCAGUCUGAAGGGCUUACCCAACAAGCCGAGAGGUGGUGCAUGGCCGUCGUCAGCUCGUGCUGUAAGGUGUCCUCUUAAGUGAGGUAACGAGCGAGACCUGUAUCUACAAUUGCUAACAGCCAUUAUUGGGACUGAGCACAUCGUAGAGACUGCCUGGGAAACCAGGAGGAAGGUGCAGGCUACGGUAGGUCCGCAUGCCCCUAAAAGC
Molecule: ribosomal RNA, 660 nt
Filed under: uncultured archaeon
Lineage: Archaea
Description: bacterial SSU rRNA
Rfam family: Archaeal small subunit ribosomal RNA
Source: RNAcentral